This 85-nucleotide non-coding RNA is filed under the name Stenotrophomonas maltophilia. The record is from RNAcentral. Lineage: Bacteria; Pseudomonadati; Pseudomonadota; Gammaproteobacteria; Lysobacterales; Lysobacteraceae.
CUCUCUGGCGGGCGAUGCGUGGGGAUUUCAUCCGCCGGUUUUUUCGAAAGGUCCGGUACUCCAACCCGCAUCGUCCGCCGCCUUG